Molecule: transfer RNA, 77 nt
Filed under: Planctomycetota bacterium
Lineage: Bacteria; Pseudomonadati; Planctomycetota
Description: Planctomycetes bacterium (activated sludge metagenome) tRNA-Ile
Rfam family: tRNA
About the family: Transfer RNA (tRNA) molecules are approximately 80 nucleotides in length. Their secondary structure includes four short double-helical elements and three loops (D, anti-codon, and T loops).
Source: RNAcentral
GGGCCCAUAGCUCAGUCGGUUAGAGCAGCGGGCUCAUAACCUGCCGGUCCUAGGUUCAAGUCCUAGUGGGCCCACCA